This is a long non-coding RNA of Dama dama (fallow deer), 6959 nucleotides long. RefSeq lists it as uncharacterized. The transcript is spliced from 3 exons. NCBI's taxonomy places the organism in Eukaryota, Metazoa, Chordata, Mammalia, Artiodactyla, Cervidae. The record is from RefSeq and is a predicted model, not a curated record.
UCACGGUCACCAAAACUCCCGCAGGCCUUUCCUCGGGGAGACCGGGGGCCUGUUACCAGCAGUCACCGCCCUGCCUUGACUGCCUGGGUGAAUCAGGUGCUAAUCAGAGCCUUGGUCUUGGCAGCUCCCCUGUCUGGGUUUUCUGAGUGCGCCGGAUUUAGGCCGGGUGGGGGGAUUCCUACGGCCCUGCCCCACCCACGAAGACCGAGAAGGCUCACCCGGUGGCGAAAGGUGGGCUCGGUGACUCAUCUCUGGGAUGACCUCACCUCCCGACCCCAGCGGAGCAGAUGUCCGGAUCUCAGACCUCAUACCGUGACUUUGGACGGCUAGUGCGUUCCCUUCUUCACAUUAUAAACUGGCUCGAGUAGGUGCAUGAGUGUGUUGAUUCAAGUGCUUCUGGAAAGCCCCUUCCCUUGCUAAGCACCAUGGUAAUGUCCGCAUCGUGUUUCUGCCUGGAGUGGAAUACUCUCUAACACAAUUGUCAAUGCCUGCACGUCGUGGAAGCUUGAUAAUUGUUAAAUGGACAGAUGCAUCACUCUGGUAUGGCUGAGCUCACCCUGAUGACCUCAUUUCAUCUGCUCCUCCUUCUUCCCGGAGUCACAGCCACACAGACUUUCUGUGUUUCCUUGAACCUGCCACCCUUGGUCUCAUGAUCACUUGACCUUGUCUUUGAGCCUUUGCAUGGGCUGUGCUCUCUAACCAGCUGUCUCACUCCAUCACCGGCUCUUCUCUUCGAGGUCUCAACUCAAAUACCGCCUCUUUAAAGAGGUUUUCCUAACUACCAAAAGGAGAUCCUCCAGUCACUCUCAUAUUACCCUGUGCAGUUUUCUCAAUAGCACUUAACGUGAUUAGACACUCUCAUAUUUGUUUGCUUAUUUUUCUAUAUCUCACUAGAACACCCUCCAUAGGAAAAGGGCCUGUCUUUUAAGGGUCUGUUUUAUUCAUAUAGCCAGGAACAGUGCCUGGCACAAAACAGGUGCUCAGUAAAUAUUUGUUGAAUAAAUUAACAAAUUGCAGAGGGCCGAGAAAACAGUCGUGUGAGUCUAAGGAAUGCUGACAUUUUGAAAAGAACUUGCAGACUCCAUCUUAGUCAUUUCCCUCCUUGUUGAUGUCUUCUGGGCCACAACAGUUACCAGAGCCCCAUGUGUAGGAAAUGCCCCCUCAGCGUACUCCCAACUUGUCCCUCGUGGGUAGGGGACAGCACCCAGACCAGACAGCACCCUCCCUGCCCCUUGCUUCUUUCCUUCCCUCCUGCCUUGACAUCCCCUUUUCCCUCUGACCUCCCAAUCACCUGGGCAGCUCCUCCUCUGCUCUGCACCUUUCUUACUUGUGUAGACAGCACAGCAUGGUUACUGGACUGCCUGGAGAAAUCCCAAGACCAACCUCUGAUCCUAAAUCUCAGGGUGAUAUUGGGCAAGAUGAUCAACUUUUCUGAACUGCUUUUUUUUUUUUUUUUUUAAAUUUUUCUCCUGAAAAUUUGCAAAGAUCCUACCCAGAAAUCAAUGAAUGACUUUCAUUUUCCUUCUCUACUGUGCUAUUGUUGCUUCUAGUAGUCAGAUGAACUUGUGAAGUCACAAACAAUUCAUAAGUUAGUAUUUUGCCCAUAACUGACAGACCACACCCAAUUUUCCUUCUGCCGUUCACUUGGAACAUUUUCUUUCUCUUAUUCAUUUCUCAUAAAUUUAUUUUUCUAGCUCAGCUCAGCUGCUUAACAAUCUCUCUUAAGCUCAAAACCAGCUCUGGCUGCCUCCUAACAGUCAGAAGUGGCACUCUGGCCUACAUUCAUUAUGGCCCCACAAGACUCACAUGCCCAGAGUGCAUUUCAAAUUCUGCUUUUUGGUCAAAUGAGAAAAGGUGAAAGCAUUAGCAUCAGAAGUCAGAAGAGUCAGACAGUGUGUGUGAGUGUGUGUGUGUGUGUGUGUGUGUUGGGGAAGGUUUUCCAUAAGACAGUCUCCCUGUACUGCAUCCACCUUCUCCUUUAACCUGACCCCACCCAGUAAUUGCCAUUGUCUUGCAAUUCAAGCUAAAGAAAAGGAAAAGAGAAAGUUUGAUCCAUUUUGACAGGUUCUGUUUCUCUCUUUUCAUUUUCAUAGACCACUUGAGAGAUUUUCAGGUUCAACUCUUAUGCUGAGCUGGUGCCAUGCAAUUUCCAGGCUCCUUCCUGCCCUCUUCCUUCAUUCCUUAUAGCCCCUGAUAAUGGAAAGAAGGGAGAGACAAAGACUCCUAGAAGAAGCUGGCUUUUGUCACGUUUAAGGUAGAAUUUGUUCAUUUGUAUUCUCUCUUAUUAAUAAAAUUGUUAAGGCAUCAUAAGCCUAGUGGAAUUUCAUGCCACAUAAGAUUUUUACUUUUACUUGUCUUCCUGCUAUUUCCCUGUCUCUUAGCACAACCAGCAUCACAGGUUUUGGCAGCAGCUCCCAAACAGGUUUCAUGUGUGCAUAAUGUGGAACAGCUACUGGUCAUGUGGGCCAGCCAGAGCCAUGCACAUGUGGUUCAGGGUAACCAGUCGAUGGUGUGUUUAGUGAGCAAUCACUUUGAACUUUAAGGUGGGGUUGGGCGAAAGACCACAAGCAGAAGUUCAGCCAUUAGAGCCGGCCGAGCCCUUUGGGGUGUUACUGACAGUUCAGAGAAUUGAGAUAAACCUUGGCGCAAGCGGGAAGUAGUUAAGUAAUGUUCCUUGGCUUUUUGAAGAUGCUGUGGUCCAGAGUGUCUCAGCCUCGGCACUGCUGACAUUUGGGUCUACAUCUUUUUUCCCUUGUGGGGUUGGCCUAUGUUUAGCAGUGUCCCUGGCCUCUACUCCUGUGUGCCGGCGGCCCCCUCCCUCAGAUGAUUGUCGGAAGAGUCUCCAGCCCCAGAGAGGAGGUGCGCCUCCUGCCUCUACCCUCUGUGCGGUGGGGUUACAGGGAUAUCUUUUAGGGAUGAAAUGUCUUUAUCAGCGCCUCUUUCCAUCUGUUUCUCCCACUGAUACCACUUAAAUACACACUAAUAGAUAAUGUCAGCCCUCCGCAGAGGCCUCAGGCCACACUCUCAGAGCAAAUUAGGAACAAGAAGUUAAAAUGAAGAGCCAAUUAGCCAAAACAUGACUGAAAGUUUUUUAUUUAAAAGCUAGAACCUAAUGAAUUGUGGACAGAAGUAAAAGGAAGUGGAGUCUAUAACUACUGAAGCAAAAACACAAAGCAUUUUCUCUGCUUCUCCAACUGUCUAGAAAGAGAGUGGGCAUCCAGUUGACUGCUUGACCAUGAGGAUGGGCCCUUCAAUGACCUCAGCCUUUAAAAGGCCACUGAUUUCCAGCCCUCCACACACUCUCCUGAAUAUGAACUUGGUUUCCUCCUUCCACUUAAGAAGUUUGGAGACCUCAGAUCUCAGAGCACUGACGUCUGGAGAGGGUGGUGUCAGGGGAAGACAGCGAGAGGUAAGCAGGGCAGAGAGAUGUGAUAGAGAGUCUGGGAGAGGUAAAUGGAGAGACCCUGGCAUGCAUAUAGUUGGGAGUCUGUUGACAUAUGGAGUCUUCAACAGAGUUGGCAGAGGACAGUCAGCUGUGGAGGAAUGGAGCUGUUCGGCAAAUUAUAGAGCAGAGCAUCAGGCAAGGGGGAGUAAGACAGAGCCCAGGUUCUUAACACUGGAGGAAGGUGACAGUGCUGCCAGCCUAUAGUCAUAGCAUGUAUGCCUGUGUGCACACAUCUAGUUUCCAAAAUUGCAGGCUUCCUGAGAGCAGGGACAAGUUGUCCUCAAUCUUAGUAUCCAGAACCUGAAAUAAUCCCUGCUGUGUGGGGAAGCUUUUAGAUGUUUGUUGACUAAAGAGAGAAAAUACGACUGGGAGGUUGUUGCAUUUAUCCAGCUGUGAGGUUCACAAAUAAUUCAUCCCUUUACUUGUCAGCUACUCUGUCAAUGCUGUAUCUGCCUGGUGGGCCUUUUCUACAGCAGCGCAGUUUCCAAGUGGGAUGGCUGUGAUCUAGGAGAGACUGAAGUCCUUUUGAAAUCGAUGCAGUGUCUACUGGAGAGGAAGAGACAGAAGGAGGGAGGCAAAGGAGGGAGAUGAAGGGAGAGGGAGGCAUUUCCCGCAGUGUCUUAAGAGUUGCUGUGGUCUUCCUCCUGAUUUGCAGCCAUAGCUGUGGUUGGCAGAGCCCAGUCCAGUCUGCACUUCUGCCCUUGGUGUCCUUUGUCCUCUGAGCCUUGUUAGGAAGCCUUCCUGGUUUGUGAACAUCAUCUUGCCGGUUCGCUGUGGUUCUUUCUUUUCUUUUUUGUCUGGGAUGGUUUGCAUUUCCUUCUAUCUGGGUGGUCUACUUGAGACAACAAAGAGGUCCUUUUAAACUUUCCAUGGUGAAAAAAAAAAAAGUCUUCACAGUUGAUGAUCCUAGCCCAAAGUAUCUGACAAAAUCUGAACAGCUAGUGUCUUUUUAGAUUUAGUCGAAUAAUUGUCUUUUUCACCUAUGUUUGACAGCUUGGGCCUUGCUUUUCCCUCUAACUCAUCCGGGCACACAGAGGGUUGCACUCUCUGUAGUUCUAUUUUCAUGGUCUCCAAAUCCUCAUAAAAUCUAUUCAAAGUGACCACAUGACUGCAAUCCAGUGGAAGGGGAUAGUCCCUAAGUAUCCCUAGUCAGAGGAUUCUGUCUGUCUGCAUUUACCACACCUACGUAUCCAGCUGCCCUCUUGGAGGCACACUUCUGCUUCUUCAAAUGCCUUUGGGGGUUGGGGCAGCCCAAAGUGACAGAAGAUGGAAAGGGCUGCUCCCCUUCAGAGAAACUGACCCCCAUCUGCUAAAUGUUACUCUACAGUUCUUUCCUGCUGAAGAGCUCAGGUUGGUCAGUUUUGUUUGUUUGUUUUCUUCCCCUUUUACGUGAAACAGAAAUUGAACGGAUCUGAAGACAUUAAAAGGUGUCUGGGUAGGGGGCUGGAGGGAGAAGGGAGUUUCCUCAGAGGAUGGAAUGUCCCAAGAGAAAUUUCACUUAUUGUGAGGGGGAAGUCCAUUUCAUAUUACAUAAUGGUGUCACUGUUCAACACUCUGUUGACAGUUUAUUAAUAUUUGUCACUAUUUUGAUUAGUCAUUCAUCUUUAAAGCCCUGUGCAUUACGGAAAGACCAUUAUACAUAAAGCGCUCCUCGGGCUAGAUGACAGACCAGGAUUAUUUUCUUUCCUAUUCACAACAAGGCACGUGUGUCUUCUCACUGACCACCUCUUGGUCUGCAGGAGACUGCCUGCCUCCACCCAGACAAGACAGUUCCAGUCAGCGUGGCAUGUUGCUGCUCGAAGCCCACACCUCCCAGUGCUGCCACCUGCAGCCUUCAGCAGCCCCGUCAUACCUGCGAGCCCUUUCUGGGCAGGGCUCCCACUCCAGAUUGCAGACACAGCCACUCGCAUGGGAGUAGCCGCCGCAGGGAGGAUAGGGCUGCUGCAGACAGACGUGCUUGGUUAACAGGAAGUGAGGCUGUGUUUCUCUCACAUCCAGUAACCCCUGAACGAGGGCAGGCGGCCUGUGGCCAUGCACACCCUGGUUCACCAACACACAACUUGCACACUGUGCAGGCUGGAGCAGCUCUCCAUCUAAAAACACUUGUACUUGACUUUAUGCUGACGUCCGUUUCUCUCCCAUUCUGCUCCAAAGUACAAGGGAGUGCUUAUUUUACCACUCUUGUAAUUAAAGCAUCCAUGAUGGUGCUUUAACCCUACCAAGGGCACAGUUUUGAAGGGGAUAUAAGAUCUCUGUCUCUAAACAGAGAAAACUUUGUGACUUUUGAAUGGCAGUCCCCCUCCCACUGGUCACAGUUCUGCAGGGCAGCCCAAGGACAAAUGCGCUGUCUGUUAGAGACACAGGUAACUGACCCGUAAGACAGUGCAAUCUGUGGACAUCUUCCCUCAAUGCAGUACUUUCAGAAACAUGUACGGUUUUUGAAGAGUAGGAUUUACAACAUUGUGUGGUUUCAGGUAUACAGCAAAGUGAUUCAGUUGCAUAUAUAUGUAUACACAAAAUUUCAGAUUCUUUUUCAUUACAGGCUAUUACAAGCUAUUGAAUAUAAUAAAAACGUACAAUAUAAGGUGAACUUUUGCUUUUAAAAUCUCACUAUUUUCAUUGCAGUCAUAACAACCAAGCCAAUGGGGCAGGAAGCUCUCUGCUUUGUGGUUAUUUUAUUCAAGCCAUGUAUGAAGUUUCUUUCUGUUAUAAAGCCCAGUUACUGCUCUGCAGGGAACAUGGUCUUACAUGUCUUCUACAGCCCUGUUUCCAAGCACUGAGGUGGCAUUUUUAUUCAUUUGACCAACAUUUGUUGAAAACCUACUACGUUCUACAUAUUGUGCCAGAAGCUGAGGAUACAGAAAAAUAAAAACAAAACUGCUCCCAUCCUUAAUUCACAUUCAUUCAUAAGUCUUUUGGAAAUAGGGACUUAAUACAUAAAUGAUUUCCAUAUAACGUGAUGUACUCUGAGCUUGUAAAGCUUGCUUUUAGGAGAUUAGAGGAGGUGCUCAGAACUGCCUCAGCUGACUCUUCUUUUCUGUGAAAGUAGGUGUCCUUCCAUUUCCCCAUUUCUUGUGUGGGAGUUCUCGUCAAACACAUGCACUCGUGUGUGAGUUCUCUUCAAAUGUAUACAGUCGUGUGCGAGUUCUCGUCAGACACGUACACUCAUGUGAGAGCUGUCUUCAAACACAUGCACUCAUGUGCGAGUUCUCUUCAAACACAUACACUCGUGUGCGAGUUCUCGUCAGACAGAUACACUCGUGUGCGAGUUCUCGUCAGACACAUACACCCGUGAGUGAGCUCUCGUCAUACACAUACACUCAUGGGAGAACUGUCUUCAAAUGUAUAUACUCAUGUGCAAGUUCUCUUCAAACACAUACACCCGUGUGCGAGUUCUCAUACACAUACACUCGUGUGAGAGCUGUCUUCAAACACAUGCACUCAUGUGCGAGUUCUCUUCAAACACAUACAUUCACGUGCAGGUUCUCGUCAGACACAUACACUCCUGUGCGAG